CAGUCGCCGCGGUAAUACGUAGGGUGCAAGCGUUAAUCGGAAUUACUGGGCGUAAAGCGUGCGCAGGCGGUUAUAUAAGUCAGAUGUGAAAUCCCCGGGCUCAACCUGGGAACUGCAUUUGAGACUGUAUGGCUAGAGUGUGUCAGAAGGGGGGUAGAAUUCCACGAGUAGCAGUGAAAUGCGUAGAUAUGUGGAGGAAUACCGAUGGCGAAGGCAGCCCCCUGGGAUAACACUGACGCUCAUGCACGAAAGCGUGGGGAGCAAACAGGAUUAGAUACCCCUGUAGUCCCUGUAUCUUAUA
RNAcentral lists this ribosomal RNA (301 nucleotides) under uncultured bacterium. RNAcentral describes it as "partial 16S ribosomal RNA". It matches the Rfam family "Bacterial small subunit ribosomal RNA", at positions 509 to 808 of the family's 1533-position model. The record is from RNAcentral.